GAUGAAGAACGCAGCGAAAUGCGAUAAGUAAUGUGAAUUGCAGAAUUCAGUGAAUCAUCGAAUCUUUGAACGCACAUUGCGCCCGCCAGUAUUCUGGCGGGCAUGCCUGUUCGAGCGUCAUUACAACCCUCAGGCCCCCGGGCCUGGCGUUGGGGAUCGGCGGAAGCCCCCUGCGGGCACAACGCCGUCCCCCAAAUACAGUGGCGGUCCCGCCGCAGCUUCCAUUGCGUAGUAGCUAACACCUCGCAACUGGAGAGCGGCGCGGCCACGCCGUAAAACACCCAACUUCUGAAUGUUGACCUCGAAUCAGGUGGGACUACCCGCUGAACUUAAGCAUAUCAAUAAGCGGAGGA
This 353-nucleotide unclassified non-coding RNA is filed under the name soil metagenome. RNAcentral describes it as "partial contains 5.8S ribosomal RNA, internal transcribed spacer 2, and large subunit ribosomal RNA". The stretch from base 1 to 120 matches the Rfam family "5.8S ribosomal RNA", at positions 35 to 154 of the family's 154-position model. The record is from RNAcentral.